This 96-nucleotide microRNA precursor is filed under the name Tursiops truncatus (common bottlenose dolphin). RNAcentral's name for it is "miRNA (ENSTTRG00000025367.1)". It matches the Rfam family "mir-544 microRNA precursor family". Lineage: Eukaryota; Metazoa; Chordata; Mammalia; Artiodactyla; Delphinidae. The record is from RNAcentral.
AUCACCUGGGAAUCUUGUUAAAAUGCAGAUUCCGAUUCAGUUGGUCUUGGGACCCAUGAUUCUGCUUUUCUAACAAGCUCUCGGGUGAUGGCCAAU